GCGGGAUUAGUUUAGUGGUAGAACGAUUGCUUCCCAAGCAAUAGAUACGGGUUCGAUUCCCGUAUCCCGCACUA
This 74-nucleotide transfer RNA is filed under the name Candidatus Sungbacteria bacterium RIFCSPLOWO2_02_FULL_54_10. Its description in RNAcentral is "tRNA-Gly". It matches the Rfam family "tRNA". From Rfam's summary of the family: Transfer RNA (tRNA) molecules are approximately 80 nucleotides in length. Their secondary structure includes four short double-helical elements and three loops (D, anti-codon, and T loops). The record is from RNAcentral. Lineage: Bacteria; Candidatus Sungiibacteriota.